Mustela erminea (ermine) is the source of this 886-nucleotide long non-coding RNA. RefSeq lists it as uncharacterized. The transcript is spliced from 3 exons. The record is from RefSeq and is a predicted model, not a curated record. Lineage: Eukaryota; Metazoa; Chordata; Mammalia; Carnivora; Mustelidae.
ACCCUAAGACCAUGACCCGAGCUGAAGGCAGAGGCUUAACCCACUGAGCCACCCAGGUGCCCCGACUUCCUCAAUUUAAAUUCAGCAAAACAGCAGAGUAGUUCUAAUGCUCCUUCUGUGAAUCUGUGUGCCAAAUACAAGAGGCAGAGUUACAAUAAUGAAGAGGAAGACAAUGAAAAGGAAAUCGAACAUGAAGGAACAGACUCAGAGACAAGAGAAAAAAACUUGAGAGGACCAAAGAACUUUCUGUGCUUCAGUUUCCACACUGCCUAGAAAGAGCAAGUACCCCAUCUCUCCCUCCACCAAACUGUGACAAUAAGUGAUGUCGAUGCUGAGUGGCUAGAAAUCGGACAAUUCCAAAGAGGCAUCCAGAGACCAUCAGCUUAUGUUGAAGCCUCCACCCCUCCUUUAGUCAAGCCCUUCAAUUCAUUUUGGAGCCAUGGCCCAAGCCAGAAGUCUGAAAUUUGCAACCAUUACCCUACUCCAUAGAAGAAUGGGUAUCCCUGGUUCUGUGCAGUGAGGGAGUAUACAAGGACUCGAAAGCUGCUCGCAUACCCAUGCUUAGACUUUGCGGACUUCAGGCUGAAGACCUUCAAUGCGAGGGAACUGCAUUCCAAAGAGGAAGACUAUGUUAGAACUGAAGCUAUAAUCACAAUUUUUCCCAUUCUCAGCCACUGUUGAUUGCAUCUCCAUGUAAAGAUUUUUUUUUUUUUCCUCUAACCUUGUUGUUUAUUUAUGGCUGAUCUUAUCACAAUCUAUGUUUAUCUAGAAAUACAAAAUGGAUUUUCUCUCUCCUGUUGAAAAUCCCAAGACCAGUUCUUGGCUUCCUGUUUUCUUCUCCACAGGUUCCAGGUGCUUGCAUCUUAUUUUAAAAAGGAAAAGCCUA